GAUGAACGCUAGCUACAGGCUUAACACAUGCAAGUCGAGGGGCAGCGGGAUUGAAGCUUGCUUCAAUUGCCGGCGACCGGCGCACGGGUGAGUAACGCGUAUCCAACCUUCCGUACACUCAGGGAUAGCCUUUCGAAAGAAAGAUUAAUACCUGAUGGUAUCUUAAGCACACAUGUAAUUAAGAUUAAAGAUUUAUCGGUGUACGAUGGGGAUGCGUUCCAUUAGGUAGUAGGCGGGGUAACGGCCCACCUAGCCAACGAUGGAUAGGGGUUCUGAGAGGAAGGUUCCCCCCACAUUGGAACUGAGACACGGUCCAAACUCCUACGGGAGGCAGCAGUGAGGAAUAUUGGUCAAUGGACGAGAGUCUGAACCAGCCAAGUAGCGUGAAGGAUGAA
RNAcentral lists this ribosomal RNA (395 nucleotides) under uncultured bacterium. Its description in RNAcentral is "bacterial SSU rRNA". It matches the Rfam family "Bacterial small subunit ribosomal RNA", at positions 28 to 412 of the family's 1533-position model. The record is from RNAcentral.